This 240-nucleotide unclassified non-coding RNA is filed under the name soil metagenome. RNAcentral's name for it is "partial contains 5.8S ribosomal RNA, internal transcribed spacer 2, and large subunit ribosomal RNA". The record is from RNAcentral.
AACGCACGAGACCUGCGGACCUGCGGAGGGAUCAUUAAUGAGAAACUGCCCCUCGCGGGUAGAUCUCCCACCCUUUGUAAACUUACCUUUGUUGCUUUGGCAGGCCCGUCUCCGGACCGCCGGCUUCGGCUGGCCAGUGCCUGCCAGAGGAUUCUAAAACUCUGUCUGUCAGUGUUGUCUGAGUCUAUAUACAAUCGUUAAAACUUUUAACAAUGGAUCUCUAGAUCGGAAGAGCACACG